GCACCCUCCCUGCUCCCCACAACCUCCUCCCACCCCACCCAUCCCAGCAGGGCUCACCCCAGGGUGCCUGCCUGUGCCCUCUCUUGCUUCCUGGGCUCCGUCCUCACCACAGCCAUGCUGUCAGGCGUUGGUGCAGCAUCCCCCAUCAGACACUGUGGGCGGCCCCUCCUGCUCUCUGCUCUCCUCCUUGGAGGGGCCCUUCAGCCUCCUGACACCAACAGCCCACUGUGCACCACUGGGCCUGCUUCCCCUGCCUUGCCCCAUUUCCUUAGACAGAGAGAAAGGGUCAGAUAUGGCAAGUCCCGUCUGUUGACCAUUUCCCGCCAGCCUCUGCCAUCCCUUCUCCUGCAGUUGUGUCCUGAUGGGGCUCAGGCCAGUACCAUCCUAUCAGACAGAAUCUGCACCAGGUCCCAUGGGUUCCCUGCCCUCUGAGGAGGCUGUGGGCUGGCACAGUCAGGUCUUGCCCCUCCUUCCUGUGUUGGCUCAGAGAAGCUCUAGAAUUAGAGCAGCCCUUCUGGGGUCCUUCCAGGCCGCC
Molecule: long non-coding RNA, 535 nt
Filed under: Homo sapiens (human)
Lineage: Eukaryota; Metazoa; Chordata; Mammalia; Primates; Hominidae
Description: HSALNT0039819
Source: RNAcentral